GAACUUUGUUAAGCUAUUUAGAUAUACACAAUUUACAGCCAAACCAUAAGUUACUUUUAUUUCAUUCAGCAUAUCGACACCAACGUUGCAGUUUAACCAGACAAAUGCGAAAUUCGACGAGCCCGACUGGUCAAAACUUUUCACACGCAGUGGUGCAUUUAGCUUGGUUUUGGUGAAUUUUAGGAGAAUAAUUAAUGACUUUCAUUCUUAAAAUUUUAACACGUACGUAAUGCAACAGUCUCUUAGACAUGGCACAAUAUCGACAACCAUGGUAAUUUGGUUUAUACCGAGGCAACAAUUAAUAGUGGGCGUUGACAGACAAACUAUACUCGUGCAACUCGGGCACACGUCAUAGACCAUAGUACCUACGGUGAUCGCCUGUGUAAUGUAAUCUUUGGAAACGUCCGAAAAGAAGUAAUGAUUGUAAUAAAUUGUGAUUUAUGACUGCAUUGUAAUUACUGUAGAAUACGUAACUUGUCAAAAUACAAAUGACAAAUUAAUGUCGAUGCCAAA
Long non-coding RNA from Acyrthosiphon pisum (pea aphid), 513 nucleotides. RefSeq lists it as uncharacterized. The record is from RefSeq and is a predicted model, not a curated record. NCBI's taxonomy places the organism in Eukaryota, Metazoa, Arthropoda, Insecta, Hemiptera, Aphididae. The transcript is spliced from 3 exons.